Molecule: unclassified non-coding RNA, 146 nt
Filed under: uncultured fungus
Lineage: Eukaryota; Fungi
Description: sequence contains ITS1
Source: RNAcentral
UUGUGUGGUUAUGUUUCAAGACUGCGGUCGCGAUCGGUGGGCGCGGGCCCGCCGAAGCGACGCGGUGGAAUAGACAAAGGGUUGGAGAUCGGGCCCCGAGGGACCCCAACUCGGUAAUGAUCCUUCCGCAGGUUCACCUACGGAAA